RNAcentral lists this ribosomal RNA (271 nucleotides) under uncultured archaeon. Its description in RNAcentral is "partial 16S ribosomal RNA". It matches the Rfam family "Bacterial small subunit ribosomal RNA", at positions 524 to 794 of the family's 1533-position model. The record is from RNAcentral.
GACAGAGGUGGCAAGCGUUGUUCGGAUUUAUUGGGUGUAAAGGGUGCGUAGGUGGUUAUUUAAGUUAGCUGUGGAAUUCCUGGGCUUAACCUAGGGUAGUCAGCUAAGACUGUAUAACUUGAGUAUAGGAGAGGGUAGUGGAAUUUCCGGUGUAGCGGUGAAAUGCGUAGAGAUCGGAAGGAACACCAGUGGCGAAGGCGGCUACCUGGCCUGAUACUGACACUGAGGCACGAAAGCGUGGGGAGCAAACAGGAUUAGAAACCCUUGUAGU